GAUGAACGCUGGCGGCGUGCUUAACACAUGCCAGUCGAACGGAAAGGCACAAGCUUGCUUGGGUACUCGAGUGGCGAACGGGUGAGUAACACGUGGGUGAUCUGCCCUGCACUUCGGGAUAAGCUUGGGAAACUGGGUCUAAUACUGGAUAGGACCACUCCUUGGAUGUUGUGGUGGAAAGUUUUUUCGGUGUGGGGUGAGCUCGCGGCCGAACAGCUUGUUGGUGGGGUGAUGGCCAACGAAGACGUCGACGGGUAGCCGGCCUGAGAGGGUGUGCGGCCGCACUGAGUCUGACAUACGGCCCCGACUCCUACGGGUGGCAGAAGGGGGGAAGCUUGAUCAAUGGGCGCCGGCCGGAUGCAGCGAGGCCGCGUGGGGUAUAACGGUCUUGGUGUUGUAAACACCUUUCGCUAGGAACGAAGCGUUUUGUGACGGUACCUGGAGAAGAAGCACCGGCUAACUACGUG
This 467-nucleotide ribosomal RNA is filed under the name uncultured bacterium. Its description in RNAcentral is "partial 16S ribosomal RNA". It matches the Rfam family "Bacterial small subunit ribosomal RNA", at positions 28 to 507 of the family's 1533-position model. The record is from RNAcentral.